CUACGGGAGGCAGCAGUGGGGAAUUUUGCGCAAUGGGCGAAAGCCUGACGCAGCAACGCCGCGUGCGGGAUGAAGGCCUUCGGGUCGUAAACCGCUUUCAGCAGGGAAGAAGUUGACUGUACCUGCAGAAGAAGCUCCGGCUAACUACGUGCCAGCAGCCGCGGUAAUACGUAGGGAGCGAGCGUUAUCCGGAUUUAUUGGGCGUAAAGCGCGCGUAGGCGGCUUGCCAAGCGGGAUCUCAAAACCGAGGGCUCAACCCCCGGACGGAUCCCGAACUGGCAGGCUCGAGUUCGGUAGGGGAAGAUGGAAUUCCCAGUGUAGCGGUGAAAUGCGCGGAUAUUGGGAAGAACACCGAUGGCGAAGGCAGUCUUCUGGGCCGCAACUGACGCUGAGGUGCGAAAGCUAGGGGAGCGAACAGGAUUAGAUACCCCGGUAGUC
This 438-nucleotide ribosomal RNA is filed under the name uncultured bacterium. Its description in RNAcentral is "partial 16S ribosomal RNA". It matches the Rfam family "Bacterial small subunit ribosomal RNA", at positions 339 to 795 of the family's 1533-position model. The record is from RNAcentral.